Molecule: long non-coding RNA, 2838 nt
Organism: Malaya genurostris
Lineage: Eukaryota; Metazoa; Arthropoda; Insecta; Diptera; Culicidae
Exons: 3
Source: RefSeq, a predicted model, not a curated record
CAAUUGCGAAAUGAAAAAAGUGCUAGAAAUUUGAUUUAUAGAAUAAAAAUAUUGAUCUUUGCUAUUAUUUAUAUUUAAAUUUUCAUCACAGAUUCUCCAAAGGAAGAGAGAGUAAUUUCGCCGAACGUUUUAACACCGAAAAAAUUUUGCCUCUACUAUUAUUAUUAUAUCUGAUUUAUCCUGGCUUUAAUCUUGUUGGUCGUUCACCGAAGCACUUCAGGAAUAUUUGUACCGGUUCAUGUAUAACGAACGGUAAUUUAAUUUCGACCUGGACUGUAAGGAUUGAUGUAGCCCAGUCCAAUUCCCAUGAAAACCGUUUCGUAGAAAUGAAACACCAUCAGAUGUUUGCAUUUCUGCUCGAAAGUACAAUACCAGAGCAAUUUUCAAUGAAAAACUGUAUUAAUCACACUUUUUUUUGCACAAAUAUGGUUGCUGAAAAUAAGUUGGGAAAAUCAACGAAAAAAUUAGUUUUUCUACGGACUUUUCUUGAAUAUCUGCAUAUGUGGUAACCCGGCUUACGAAUUUGAUAAUGAGCAGAGAAGAAUCGAUGAAAAAACAGAACCAUAUGAUUGUGUUGUCGUUUAUAGACGUCAGAAUUCUGUCAGUACAGAGCGGUUGCAGUUAUGAUCACAUUUUUGAUUCAGUCUACUUUCGUACUGUGCAGUUCGAUUUGGAGUGAGAACUGUGCAAUACGAAUACGAAAGUUGAAACAUGAACGGAAGAAGGAUCACAGUAGGCGUGUGCGUCGGGAGUGAAAAAUUUUCGUUCCCGUCAAAAUUUUUUUCGUGAAUAAUAGUUUUCGUCGGUUAUUGAUAUCUAGAAAGCAGGAGUGAAAUCCAAAGGGUCAAAUUUUUCACGUUCUUCGGUUUUUGUGGUGAUUAUCUAACAGUUUAAUUAUUUACCCGCCUGGAAUCACAACAAAGAGGAAAAGCACAACGUACGAAUCAAUUUCGGUCCGGUCAAUUUUGCGCAUGGUGCUGGAACUCUCGACGAGGAAACUGUCCUAAGGACCGAUCUGCCUGCCAGUCUCUUGCAUCAUGGAACAACGGAGAAGCUGAUCAAGGACAAUACGUAUACAUAAGCGCUACCGCGUGUAAUCCGCCAAGAUCAUCAUCACAAUGCAACUCAACUCAUACGAAAGUUGAAACAUGAACGAUUUGUAAAGAAAAAAUAUUAACCGAUAAACAAUUAACUUAGGACAGAGCCUAUUUCUCAUAAUUCAAAACGAACCAGCAUCCAUUUACAACAGCAGCAGUGUAAUGUAAACACCGAUCUUACGGAACAGUUUGAAAGUAAGCCCAAUUAUGCAACAACGUCUACGUUAGUAUAUCAAAUUACGGCUUCUAUUGUACACACACAUUCAAUUACCUGCCCAGGCCGCGGUCUCAUUAUGCGCAAAAGGCAAAUCUAUUCCGCUAUCGAACCGCCGAACUCCCGCAGUCUUCGACCGACCAAUCAUUAUUCGGACCAGUGUGCGUCAGUCAAUUUCUGUCAGUUCGAAAAUGUCAAUGUCAAAUCGACAGCCGUCGGGUAGAUUCAAGCCUCAAGUGUUCCUUUUCUUCUCUCUAUUCGGCAUUCGGCAUCACCUAAACCCGAACAACAGCGCUCCUCCGAGCCCCUGAACAGUCAAUUUCGGUAAUCGAAAAAGUUCGGCGUGGUUUGAAGGGUGCGGACCCCUUGCGAAUGGACCGUCAAUUAUGAGCUACCCCGUCGGAGCUCGGAGAAAAAACGGACAUAACACUUGCACCCGUUUGCGAUGCGAUGACAUAAUUCCGCAGUUCCGCAAGCCGUGGCCAUCGGGAGAUGUUGACGACUAGCGCGCGUCCCCCCGGAUUUCCGAUAGUCCCACAGCGACGAUCGACCGACCGACCGCGCACGAGAGUUCAACGAGUCAAUUGAAUUUGUUGAAUAUAGCGAUUUGUUGUGUUCGCUUAAUUGGAGAACGUUUCGCGAUUUCUUUCUUUCUUUCCCGACAAAAACCUUGGAGACAGGAGCCAACCGCGGUACUUUUAUGGGUAUCGAGUGUAGUCAUUGUUGUUGUUUGUUUUGCAAUAGAGAUUUGGAGCAGGGAGCAGCGGGAGGGACAAAGAUCCCGGAACGAGCGGGUCGUCGUCGAUGGAUCUAUUAUAGAGUGUAACUUGUUUGGCCUGCGUUGCCGAGCCCGCUGUCACUUGGCCCGGACAAUCGAACAGACUGCGCACCUACGCUGAAGGAGUUCCCGUGCAAAUAACUGUUCAAAGUCAUUCGACUUCUGCUGCUGCUGCUGCUGCUGUUGCUGCUUCUGUUGGGUCCCAGUCCGAAUUAGAGAGACAAUCGAGAAAGUUUUCGCGAUAUGCACUUUUUCGCGCUAGGACCACGUGAACGUAAUUUAAUGCUUCCGCGACGAUCGGAGAAAGAGUUAAAGAGGAAGUAGGAAAUUACUGUUCGAUCGCGAGUCGAUUGUUGAUGCCUAAUUGGCGAAAAUUAGAUCUUGUUGCCGAUUAAACCCGGGGGACCGCUACUGUCAGCUGCGAGCUGCUCCCCCGUCGACGAAAGAAAGUCUCAACAAGGUUUUAUUGUUUGAUUCGAUGGCGGUGCGGUGCGGAGGAUCUACAAUCCGAUCAUGCAAAACCCGUAGGACGCCAAUAUUCUCACGGAAGGCUCUUGGUAAGCACCGUAAGCUAAGUUUGUGUGAGUGUGGAUGAAGCAAAGUACUGACAUGGUAAUGUGGCCAUUGUCGAAUUAAUUGAACAUGAUUUGGCACUACCGCGGCGGGCCAAUGGAUUUGUGGCCAAUCGAGCAGGUGAUUCGUUCGGAAGUGAAUGGGAGAAACCUAUGGCCCUUACGGUACUAAUCAGC